Maniola jurtina (meadow brown) is the source of this 215-nucleotide long non-coding RNA. RefSeq lists it as uncharacterized. The transcript has 3 exons. NCBI's taxonomy places the organism in Eukaryota, Metazoa, Arthropoda, Insecta, Lepidoptera, Nymphalidae. The record is from RefSeq and is a predicted model, not a curated record.
UCUCGUGCGAUGCAAAUGAUGGGACGCGUUUACCUAGAUGCCUAUUCACCUCUUGUUUUAAAGAGACCCUGAUUGUAAUUGGUAGGAAUACAGAUCGUGGAAGAGUAUUUCAAACCUUAACCAUGCGUAUGAGGAAUGAUGACGCAAAACGUUUUGUGCGUGUAGAUGGAAUGUUGACGACAUUAGGAUGGAAACUCGCCCGACGUCUUGCGGUU